GACGAACGCUGGCGGCGUGCCUAAUACAUGCAAGUCGAACGCUUCUUUCCUCCCGAGUGCUUGCUCUCAAUUGGAAAGAGGAGUGGCGGACGGGUGAGUAACACGUGGGUAACCUACCCAUCAGAGGGGGAUAACACUUGGAAACAGGUGCUAAUACCGCAUAACAGUUUAUGCCGCAUGGCAUAAGAGUGAAGGGCGCUUUCGGGUGUCGCUGAUGGAUGGACCCGCGGUGCAUUAGCUAGUUGGUGAGGUAACGGCUCACCAAGGCCACGAUGCAUAGCCGACCUGAGAGGGUGAUCGGCCACACUGGGACUGAGACACGGCCCAGACUCCUACGGGAGGCAGCAGUAGGGAAUCUUCGGCAAUGGACGAAAGUCUGACCGAGCAACGCCGCGUGAGUGAAGAAGGUUUUCGGAUCGUAAAACUCUGUUGUUAGGGAAGAACAAGGACGUUAGUAACUGAACGUCCCCUGACGGUAUCUAACCAGAAAGCCACGGCUAACUACGUG
Molecule: ribosomal RNA, 508 nt
Filed under: uncultured bacterium
Lineage: Bacteria
Description: partial 16S ribosomal RNA
Rfam family: Bacterial small subunit ribosomal RNA
Source: RNAcentral